UACGGAGGGGCUAGCGUUGUUCGGAAUUACUGGGCGUAAAGCGCGCGCAGGCGGCUAUCCAAGUCAGUGGUGAAAGCCCGGAGCUCAACUCCGGAACUGCCAUUGAAACUGUUUAGCUUGAGGACGAGAGAGGUGAGUGGAAUUCCCAGUGUAGAGGUGAAAUUCGUAGAUAUUGGGAAGAACACCGGUGGCGAAGGCGGCUCACUGGCUCGUAUCUGACGCUCAGGCGCGACAGCGUGGGGAUCAAACAGG
This 252-nucleotide ribosomal RNA is filed under the name uncultured bacterium. Its description in RNAcentral is "partial 16S ribosomal RNA". It matches the Rfam family "Bacterial small subunit ribosomal RNA", at positions 524 to 776 of the family's 1533-position model. The record is from RNAcentral.